AUGGCGGGUGGUUUCAAGUCCUUGGAGGUCCGCCAAAACGCCAGAUCCCUACCAGGAGCCAUAUAAGCCGGUGGUUUAAAUUUCCUCGACUAGCGCUGCUGGACUGAACUGUAUGCUGGGGGCUUAACGGGACGCAGAAAACAGAAAGAGGGGAUCUGAGGAGACGACACCAUUCCCGGUGCGAGUCCGAGCGUCCGGGAAGCUGAGGCCACCAACCCUCACCCCCACCAAGGACUCUCAGCCCGGGACUCGGGUUUGGUGCACCAGUGCGCGGAGCCGGGCGGCCGGCCGGUCCUGACGCUCUAGACGCGAGGAGGACGCACCGGAAGUCUCCACUGCUCUUCGCCGGCGUGGGGGCCUGCGGACCUUUCCGGCCCACUCUGCUGCCUCGGGAAGGAGAGCACACGCGUUCCGCGGCUAGUUGCCGGGAUCCCGGACAGAGCAACUUUCCUUUGAUGAUUUUCAAGAAAGCUGUGCUGUGAAGUGGCAAAGUCUCCAGGAAGCAAAAUGCCAUGGUCUCUGGGGAAACUGGUCUUUUAUUCCAGCGUGGUGGCCAGUGGGACCUGCACCCUUACAUAUUACCUGAUACAAAAGGCUUUUUCCAAGGCUUCCUAUUACCAGCAGGCAUUGGAACAGCUGCAUGGCCACCCCGAGGCCCUGGAAGCCCUGGGCACUCCCCUCAAUGUCCACUAUCUCCGCCUCACCGACAAGUACAACUUCGUGGACAUUGCCGAAGCCCAGUUGAAGAUUCCUGUCUCUGGACCCAAGUCAGAGGGCCAUCUCCAUGUCAUCUCAUCGAGAAAUGCUCCCUUUCAGAGGUGGCACCUUCAGGAGGUCUUCUUAAAGCUUGAGGAUGGUCAGCAGAUUCCCGUGUUCAAGCUCAGUGGGAACACUGGUCAUGAAGUAGAAAAGGAGUAAAGAUGAUCAGAAAGACUCCGCUUGCUCCAGACACGGCCUUACCCCAUCACCACGUGCCCCCGUGACUGGGAGCCAGGUGUCCAGCCGCCAGGGGUGACUGGAUGCGCUGGCGUAUGACAACCCCAUAUUCGAGAAGCACACCUUUAGGUUUUACCUGUUUUUAGGGAACGGUGUUAUGAAGUCAAAGAUUUUCCUUCCCUCUGAGCACCGCAGCUGAUGAAAACCAGAAAUCUGAUACCUUUGCUUUGAAAAGGCCAGUUUCACCCCUUAAUGCGGUUACAAUUGCCUACAAUAAAGGACAUUCAUGAGCUCUUUUCCUACACUCUUAAUAUUCUUUGGAGGGAAGCCUUUUAGAAAAUAUUGAGCUUAAACAUGCUGGGAGAGCAUGAGACCUUUAAUCGUUGGAAGUUAUUUCUAUUCUGGAGCUUGUUUCUUUAAAAACAUACAUUCUUUGAAUAGAGUUUAGAGUGAAAAGUGAGUCUUCCCUGAGAGCACUUUUGCCCUGUGUUUGUUGAUAGACACUAUAAUCUGUGCAGUCUUUUAAAGUAAAUGGUAACAUUGUAUACACAGUUUGUGCU
Zalophus californianus (California sea lion) is the source of this 1496-nucleotide RNA transcript. It is a transcript of the gene named cytochrome c oxidase assembly factor 1 homolog, with no coding region annotated. The record is from RefSeq and is a predicted model, not a curated record. Lineage: Eukaryota; Metazoa; Chordata; Mammalia; Carnivora; Otariidae. The transcript has 7 exons.